Molecule: ribosomal RNA, 428 nt
Filed under: uncultured prokaryote
Description: bacterial SSU rRNA
Rfam family: Bacterial small subunit ribosomal RNA
Source: RNAcentral
UCGAGAAUCUUUCGCAAUGGGGGAAACCCUGACGACGCGACGCCGCGUGGAGGAUGAAGGCCUUCGGGUUGUAAACUCCUGUCAGCUGGGGAGAACAAGCUUUUGGUGAAUAAUCAAGAGCUUUGACAGUACCAGCAGAGGAAGCCACGGCUAACUCUGUGCCAGCAGCCGCGGUAAUACAGAGGUGGCAAGCGUUGUUCGGAUUUAUUGGGCGUAAAGGGUCCGUAGGCGGCCUGAAAAGUCGGAUGUGAAAUCCCACGGCUUAACUGUGGAACUGCAUUCGAAACUUUCGGGCUCGAGUGUGAUAGGGGUAAAGGGAAUUCCCGGUGUAAGGGUGAAAUCUGCAGAGAUCGGGAGGAACACCAGUCGCGAAGGCGCUUUACUGGAUCACUACUGACGCUGAGGGACGAAAGCCAGGGGAGCAAACG